This 13531-nucleotide long non-coding RNA is filed under the name Manihot esculenta (cassava). RNAcentral describes it as "long non-coding RNA (MESC_LNC011809)". Lineage: Eukaryota; Viridiplantae; Streptophyta; Magnoliopsida; Malpighiales; Euphorbiaceae. The record is from RNAcentral.
UGGCAUUAGUCACACUCCUGAGAAUUGCCUCUUGACAUCUUCUAAUAGAGAGUGCUGUAAGUGAUGGGAGAACUUUUGGUAAUUCAACCAAAAGCGGGCAAUCAUGGAUAAAAAGAUUUUCCAGUGAAGGAAGGAAGGUGGGCAAUUUUCCAACCAACUUGGGACAAUUUUCUAUUCGGAGUUGACGCAGCUUAGGAAAUUUUGGCAAAGUAUCUUCACCCAGACCUUUAGACCAAGCCCACAGCUCCCACUCACCCAUACUUCCAAUCUCUAGUUCUUCCAAACAAGAAAAACAUGAAUCAUCCUCAUAAAACUCAACACCCACUUCUUUCACUCCACUCAUAUCUCCUAUGCUCAACUUUUUUAAUGACUUUAAUCGUCCAAGUGGUGGCAAUGAUGUCAUUUGGCGACACUUCCAUAGCUGCACCUGCACCAUGCCAGAGAAUGAAGGCUCACCCAGCCAUGAUGGGAAUUUCCUACCACCAAAUGAUGUAAUUGAUAGGCUUGACAGACUUUGAUAUGGCUGAAUUGAGUUGAGAACUUGUUCUUCAUGACUUGGGUUUCUCAAAUCAUCAAAACGUUCAUCGGCUUCAGCCCAUUCCAAGUGCAACUCAGUGAUACCAGGCUUAUCCUUCAAAUUGACAAAGCCCGCAUCUCGAAUAUCUGCCACUUCCACAUUCUCUAAACUUGUAAUAUGAAGCUGCCCUCGAAGAUCACAAAGUUUCUUUAGCUCUGUGAUCCGGCCAUUGCUUUUCCCCACGAUAAAUUUGGUCAACACGCAGAGACUAGUCAAAUUACCAAUAUGUGGUGGCAUCUCUUUCAAAUUCCUUGUGCCAAUAAUGUCAAGAUGCUGCAAGUUGAGUAAAUUGCAUAUGCCUUUAGGUAACUCAAUAAGCUCAUCACAAUCACGCAACUUUAAUGUCUGUAAGUUGAAGAGUUUAUCCACUGAUUCAGGCAAUCUUCUGAUUGGAGUAUGAGAUAAGUCAAGGUAGCGUAAGUGCUUUAAGUCACCAAUAGAAUUUGGCAACUCCUUAAUCUUAUAACCAGCUAGAGAUAGUGACCUUAAGCAUUUUAAUUUUGGCACCAACUCAUGCACCACCUUACUAGUAAUGUAGCAUCUAAAGCGAUACCCCCCCCGCAUGGGUAAAAAUGUCCGCAAAUUCUUCAUUCCAUAGAAGCUUUGAAAUCUUUGAGCAGUGUCUCUAUAAUGAGAAAUAAAUGAUGAAUGUCGAAUCUUUGCAUAUGGUUUUGUACUCUCCAACUUAUCAACCAUAUGUAAACAUGUUUCCCCACUAACAUAGCAAGCUAACUCAAUAAUUAGGUCAUGCAUUAAAUAUUUGGAUUUAUCAUCAAUCGAUUGUUGAAAAAAGGAUCUUGAUAAUAAAUCAUCAAAAUAUUUACGACCCAAAUCUUCACUAUCCUUCAUUUUCUUCUGGUCAUACAAGAACCCCUCAGCCAUCCACAGCAAAACCAAUUCAUUCCUAUCAAACUCGCGAUCCUUUGGUAAUAUUGCGCAAUAAGAGAAACAUCGCUUCAAAUGAGGUGGAAGAUGAAGAUAACUCAAUCUUAAGAAUGGAAGGAUAUUGCUCUCGUUCUCUGGUAAUUCCCAUAUCUUACUCCUCGACACUUCCUUCCACGAAUCAGGAUUCGGUUCACCCCUUAAGAUGCCUCCAAGAGCUUUUGCUGCUAAAGGUAAUCCUCCACAUCUUUCGACAAUCUCGUCACCUAUUUCUUUUAGCUCCGAAUGGUCGUCAAAAUUAUUUGCUCCAAGAGCAUGCUGGGCAAACACAGACAUACAUUCAUUGUGUGAGAGCUUCUUAAGAGAAUAUGCUUGAGUGGCACCUAUCCUUGACGAAACAUGCUGACUUCGAGUCGUGACGAUAACUCUGCUUUGAGGAGCCCCUGCUUCAAAAGGACCCCAAAACAGAGUCCAUUGCUCAUAGUUCUGGGUCCAAACAUCAUCUAGGACAACUAAAAACUUCUUCCAAGACAAAUUUUGCUUCAAUUUUACCUGAAGCACAUGUAAAUCUUUAUCAUCACCACCAUCGCCCAGUUGAAGAAGAAAUGUUUUUGUGACCCUGGAAACAUCAAAAUCUUCACCAACAGACACCCAGGCUUUUAAAUCAAACUGCAACAUGGGAUCAUUGUAGACUAGCUGAGCUAGAGUUGUCUUGCCAAGGCCUCCCAUCCCAACUAUGGAGAUCACAGAUACCUGGGCGUGACUUGUCUCAGCAUUCAACAAUUUCAACAUCGCCUUCUUAUCUUCCUCCCUACCAUAAACCUUUGCUUCAUUAACCAAAGAGGUUGCGGGUGGUCUUUCUGUCACAUGGCUCACCCUCCUCGUAGUAUAUUCUGCUAAACGGAGUUCAUCUUUCUGCUUUAUGAUCUCAUCUAAUCUUGCACUAGUUUCCUCUAUUUUGGCAUCCAUUUCAAGAUUGAACUUAAUAGUAUUUAGAUUUAUAUUCCCCCCACCACACAUACCACAGAAAAACUCGUGGACCUUAUUCUUCGGAUGAACAUGUUCCUCUUCCAAAUUGCGUUGCUGAACCUCCGUGGCAAGUUCAUCAAUGAUAUCCUCCAGGUCGUAAGCCAAGUCUCUGAGAUCGCAUAACCAGAUCUUCACCGAUCGAUUUGCCGUCUGCUUCUCCUCUGCAUCUUCGAGCACCGCAUAAAUUCGCGGGAGCAUCUUUUCCCACUUCUUGAGUUGAGCCAAGACUUGACCUUGGCCUACGUAUUUCAUCAAGUCAAUAGAGUUCAACCUGUCGAGAAGCCCCUGAAAGCAAACAGAAAGGAUAGAGCCAGCAGCAGCUACCGCAAAUUCCAUAGCAAAGAACGAGUUGUAAGAGAAGAAAGAAGCUACGAACUCUGAAGAUGGAAAGAAAGAGUUUGCAAACACAGUUUUAACUGUUGUGAAUGAGCUGAGAAACUAGGAGGCGAAAAUGGGAGGCCAAAUGAUGGGGAAGAAGUUAUUUAAUGUUAUUUGCAAUUACUUCACUAUUAAUUUAAGAACAAUUUAGUAUUAUAUUUUAUCAAAUUUAAUUAAAAGAUUUUGAUUCAAUAAAUUUAUUAAAAUAAGUAAUACAAUUAAGAUACAAAUAUCAAAAAUUUAAACAAUAAAAGUAUAAAUAUGAAAUUAUUAUACUGUUUAUCAGCAAUUGAAUGAAGAAAUUUGUAAACAACUGAAAAUGAAUUGGGCAUUGCAAUUGAAUGAAGGCUGCAGAGCUCAACAGACAUGGAGUCCCUACCAAAUUAAUGGAUCAGUGGUAUGCGAAUGACCUGAGAAAUAAGGAGAGAAAAAUGGUACAAUAAUUGGGUUAUGGUGGGUCCCAAUUAUUAAAUUAGAUUAAAUAGUAUAUGUUUCAAACUGAAUAUUUAUAUUUUAAAAAAUAUGAAAUGUAUAUAUUUUAUUUCAUUAAUAAAGUGAAUAGAGAUAUAAGUUGUUGCAUAAUUAAUCUAGGAAGGUUUAAAAUUCUAUCCCAAUCUAUUAUGUACACAAUUGACUUUGUUUUGAUUGUCGGUGCAAUGAUUACAUUCCUCAAAAAUGAUUUUGAAACCAAUUUUAAUAUAGGCCAAUAAAAUUGUUACUGUAAUUAGAACCCAAUUAUGAAAAGAGUAAAAUCAGAAUAAGUAUUGAAUUUUAAUAUAUAUAACUGCAUUUAUAUAGUUAAUAAUUUUGAUUAUUUUUUUUAAAAGUGAAAAUGCAAAUCCAAUUAUAAAGUUUGAUGUUGGAAUGUAAAACUAUUUAUUUUUCAAUAUGUAUCUUUAAAAAUACUCUGUGUUUGAAAUUUAAUUUUAAAUUUUUGUUAAAAAAAUAUUUUUAAAUAUUUAUAAUUUUAAUUGUGCGGUUAACUUUUUAUGCAGUGUUGCGCGGAUAUUAGAUCUAGUAUAUAAAUAAAAUAGAGCUAAUUCAAUCCAAAAAUCUUUAAGAAAACAAAACAAACCGAUUACAAUUCAAUCCAAUCUAAAAUCAUAAUCACUAUCCAAAAACAGCCCACGGUUCAUAAUGCAAAAUCCAAUAUUUAAUUCAGAAUUCAUAAUCGGCCAAAUCGACUCAACACACCCAGAACACAUUUCACCCAGAGAAGAUGCAAUACUAAAUAGAGUAACAAUCAAUCAAUUAAGCGGCAAAAAUUCAAAUUCGACAUCACAAUAUCUAUAAAAAAAUAAUAAAAAUUAAGUCACACAUAAAAUAAUAAAUUAAAAUUUUAAAAAAUACGAUUGAAAAAAAUAACUCUAAAAAAAUAAUUAUAAAGAAAAGAGUCGCAAUAAAUUCAGCUGUCAUCGAUUUUUUUUCUUUUUAUUUUAUUUUUAAUUUAAUAGUACAUCAUUAGAAAUUUUAAAAAAUUUUAAAUGAAUACACUAACAAAAUGAAUUUUAAUUUUCUUUGAUCAAAAGAGAAUACAUUGAAUAAUAAAAUGAAAAAAUAAUUCAGAUGUAAAAUAUCGAAAGAUGGAACAUGUUUUGAAGAGAUUUUAAUUUACGAUUCAUGCUAUAUCAUGCAAGCACAAUGAUUUUUCUCUUAUUCAAAUUAUCAUAAUUUUAAUUUAAAUUCAGUUAUUAUGAUAUGUGUGUGCGUUUAUUUAAAACAAAUAAUAGCCAUCCCUUACUCUUUAAUUAUUUUCUAAAGUUGUAUUAUUAAUAAUAAUUAUAAAAUUAAUUAUGCUUUUUUAUUAUGUUAUUAUUUAUUAAUUAAUUAACAAAAUAAAAAAUUAAUGAAAUACUUCUUUAUUUAAAAAUAAAAGAUAAAUAUUUUUAAUUUAAAGUUUUAUUCUCAUAAGAAAAUAAAAAAUUUUCUUCAAUUUUCUUGUAUGAUGACUUCAUUGACUAGUGGAAGUUUUCGGAGGAAAUUAGUGUAUAGGUUAUUUUCUCUGCUAUUACAUAAAGUUUCCUUGGAGAUGAGUCAUAUUUUGUAUUUAUUCUUAUUUUUAAGUUUAUUUGUUUUAAAUAAAAUAUAAAAUACUUUAAUUAUCCUAGAAUUUUAACACUAUACUGUUAUGAGCAAUUAAAUAAAGAAAUUUGUAAACAACUGAAAGUAAUAAUAUAAAUUAUUAAAAUUUAAUUUCUUUACCAAAUUAAUGAGAAUCACGUGGGAGAGAAACAUGGUACAAUAAUUGGGCUAUGCUGGGUCCCACCACCUUAUUCUCUUGCAGAAGUUCUUGACUUUAUUUUCAAAUAAAAUAAAUUAUAUGUCUGAAUAUAUUAUUUUUGCAUUAUUUAUUAAAUUAAUAUUAUGUAUAAAUGAUGUUAAGGAAGUGUUGCGGAAACAUAUAUUUGCUAAUAGAUUUUUUUAAAAAACGAUGAAAAAAAUAUUUUAUUUUUUUAAAAGUAUAAAUUAUUUAUUAUUUAAUUAUUAAUUUAAAAAUUAAAAUAUAUUAAUAAAUUUACAGAAGCUUUUAUAAAAUUUUCAAAAUAUAAUAAAUGACUUUUUAUUUUUUUAUUAAAAAAUAUUUUUUUAAUUAUAUUUAUUUUUAAUAUAAUAUCUAUACUUAUAAUUUUAAGCGUUUGAUUAUACUAUUAGAGAACAGCAUAAACUUAACAGUAGAUCUAUAAACAAUAAUGAUAUAAUUUUUAUAAUAAAUAUAAUAAAAUUUAUUAUAAUAAAAAUAAAAAAUUAGUAAAUACAAGACUUAUUAUAAUUUUUUUAGUAUUAAUGAUAAAUAAAAAGGUUAAAAUUUCAAUUUUUUACAUCUAGAUAAAAAUUCAGAAAAAUAAAUUUAAAAAUUUUGGAUUAAAUUAUAUUAGUUUUAAAAUUUUAAAUUAAAUUAAAAAUUUUAAAUUAAAUUAAAAAUUUAAAUUUUUUUAUUAAUUUUAUUAUUUACGUAAUAUAUAAAUAUAAUAAAAUAAUUUAUAAUAUUUUAUUAUUAAGAGACACUUUCUCCAUUUAAGUUUUUAUCUUAAAUAUAAUAUUAAUAAAAUUUAUAAAUUUUAAAUAAUUUUAUCAAUUUUAAAAUCUUUUAAAUUAAAUUAUUAAUAGUAAAAAGUUUUAAAGUUUAAUUAAUAUAUAUUACAUUUUUUAUUAAUAAAGUCUACACACCUAACAUGUGUGGAAAUUUUCAUUGAAUUUAUUUGAGAGAAAGAAAUGUUAGCAGUUGGGAAAAUGAAUGGUUGUAAGUAAGGCAAGGUCUAUAUUCAGCUUUUGCUUUGUAAAGGGGAAUCAUUGGAAAAGUCCUACAAUGAAUUAUUUGAGAGAGAGCAGCCAUGGCAUAGUAGCCCUACUACUCACUUUUCGAGACCAUGAUACCUACUCUAUAUAGGUAUAUUAAAUUUUAAAAUAAUUUAUAAUUUAAUUUCUUAUUAUUAUUAUUAUUAGAAAAAAUUACUUUUUAAUCCCUAAAAUUUAACGUAAUUAACACUUCUGUCCCUCUAUUUUGAAAACUCAAUAUUUAAAUCACUCACUUUCUCUUUUAUCCAAAUUCGUAAUCUUUCUGUCCAAAAUAGUCGUUUGGGACACGUAAAUUGAUAAAAUUGACUCUCACUAAAAGUUCCGCUAUUUCAAAAUCAUAAAAUCACAAAAUCCAAAUCCAAUGUCUCUUCACUGUAAAUUUUUUUUCCUACUCUUUCUGCAACUUCUUCACCAUAACUCUUACCCUUUCUUCUUCUUCUUCUUCUUUUCUUCUUCACCAUAACUUUUACCUUUUCUGCAACUCUCAACUUCUUCAUCAUUAUCAUCAUCUUAAAAAAAUUACUUAUUAAUAAAUUAAAAAAAAUAUUUUUUAACAUUAUCUUAAUAAAAUAUAUAUUAAUGAAAUUUCAUCAAAUAUAAAAAAAUAUCAUUUCAAACAAAAAAAUGAUUAUAUCUAAUAAAUUUUCUAACUAAAAUAUGAGCAGUUAGAGUAAUAUUAUGACAAAUUCAUCUGACAAAAAAAUCAGCUCUAGAGUCUAACAAAAAUUUACAGUCAUUCAAAAUCAAAUUUCUACAUAAGAUAAUUUGGUAAAAUACUCCUAAGUGUCUGUCUAAACUCCUGCAUAAGAUAAUUUGAUAAAAUACUUUUCUUUCUUUCUCAUCUCUCAAAUUUAAAUCAUUAAAAUCUUCCGAACAAAAGUACAAAAGAAACUUAUAAGAAAUAAAAUUCAAAUAAAAUUUCAAAACUGACAUCGUUAUGGCGAUUCUGAAAAUCUAUAAUAACAAGUAAACUUCCAUUGAAUAUUAUCUUUCGAAACAACUAAAUUAAUAAAAUUUAAAAAAAAGUCAAUUAUAAAAACAGAUCCAUAAUUUUUUUAUAUUAACGAAAUACUUCCUCCUAAUCAUUAUCUAUUGAUUGAGAAAUAACUAUCAAAAUAUAAAAAAUUAUGAAAAAAUUUUAUAUAAGAACUAAGAGUUGUUCGGUUUAUAACUAAAAACUAAAUCCUCAAAUAUAAUAACAGUCCGAGAAUUACUGUCAUAAAUAAAGAGGCCUGCAUAUUAUGAAAAUUGAUUGAAUUGUAUGUGAUAAAUAUUUUUAAAGUGAUGAUUGAAAUUUCUCUAAAGUUAAAUUUAAAAUAUAUGAUGGAAAUAAUAUUAAUCAUUAUAUACAUAAAAGAAAUAAGUAUUAAUUAUGGUGAUAAAAUCCACUUGUAUUUUUAAAGGAAGAAUUCAAGUUUAAUUUUGGACAAAAGAUUAUUACGAGAAACAAUAAUGAAUUCUGAAAUAAUCACAAAACAAACAAAAAAGAUUUAAUAAAUUUUAAAAUAUAAUAAGAAAAAAAAGUGUAAUAUUAAGAGGAGUGAAAAAAAUAUAAUGAUGAAAAGGAGAAAUUUAAUACUGUCUCCCAAUACUCUCCUUUUGGUACAAUUUUUCUUUUAAAAAAAAAAUUAAAUGUAUUUCACAUGCUGUAUUAAGAGAAAAAAAAAAAAAUCUCUUUCAAUGAUUUAAGAAUUUCUCUUCUUGCGGCUUUUCUCCUAGCGGGUUAGAUCCCAGAGAAUCCUGUGAAGUUGUGUUUAUUCAAUGAAUUGAAUUCCUUUUCCUAAAGUUAAAAAAAAAAAAAAAAAAAAUUACUGGAGAAAGAAGCCCAGUAAGUAGCUACCACACGCAACUCCAUUGAUUUUUAUUUUUUUAAUAAUUAGAGCUGAUUUAGUUUAACCGUAAAUAUAUAUGCUGAUAAUUGAUAAUUGUUACUGAUAAUUAAUUGCUAUUUACUAUUGAAAUAUUUAAAAUAUUUAAUUUCCUAUUGAAAUAUUUAAAAUAUAUAUAUAUAUAUAAUUUAUUUAAUAUUAAAGUAUAUGUAAAAUUAAUAAUUUAUUACAGAAUAAAUUAUUUUUUAAUUUUUAAAUUUUAAUAUAAUUAAUAUAUUAAUUUUUAUAUUUUUAAAAUUAAAUAUUUAUAUCCUUCUAUAAUUAGUUCAUUUAAAUUAGAAGUUAUUCUAUCAAUUUUUACCAUUAAAAAAAUGUAAAUGUUCUUAUUAGAUUUUUAAAUGAAUAAAUUAUAUUUAAAUUCUUAAAUUUUAAUAUAAUUAAUGAUUCGAUCUUUAAUAUUUUUAAAAUCAUAUAUUUUUAUUAGUUUGUCCUCAUUUAUUAUAAUUUAAAUUUUUUAAUUUUUAAUUUUUUUAUUUAAAAAAAUACUUAAAUCUCUAUUAAGUAUUGUUUAUAAUAUCUUAUUUAAUUAAUUUUUAACUCUUUUUAUUAUUUAAUUUUUAUUCAUUAAAAUAUUUUAAUAUUUUUAAAAAAAUACUUAUCAUUUCAACUAUAUUUAAGUGGUAUAAAUAUUGUCUAUAAUAUCUUAUUUAAUUAAUUAUUUAUAAUAUUUUAUUUAAUUAAUUUCCAUUAAUUAUUGUUUAUAAUAUUUUAUUUAAUUAAUUUUUAACUCUUUUUGUUAUUUAAUUUUUAUUCAUUAAAAUAUUUUAAAAUUCAUAAUUUUAAAACUUUAAAAAAAUAAUUAUAAUUUCAACUAUUUUUAAGUGAUACAAAUAAUCUUUAAAUAAAUUAUAAAUUUUUAUAAAGAGUAUUAUAAAAAGAGAUUGUAAUUUUAGAAAAAAUUUGACAACCGACUAGUUUUAAACUAAUAUUUAUAAUAGAUAAAAAAAAUUAUAAUUUUAAAUAGUUUAAACGUAGAGAUAUUUAAAGAUUUAUUUUUAAAAUUACAAAGUCUGAUCUGCCAAUUAUUUUAAAAUUUAAGGAUUAAAAUAUAAUUUAUAUAAUAUAAAAUUUCCAUCUAAAUUGAAAAUAAUAGAUAUUUAAAAUAUUUAUUUUUUAUUUGAAUAAUUGAUUGGAUAAAAUAAUUUACAGAUAAAAUGAUUAUAGGGAAAUUUAAGUAUUUAAUUUUAAAAAAAUAUUAUAAUAAAAUAUUUUAAAAAUAAAAAAUUAAUAAAUAUAAGACUUAUUAUAAUUUUUUUAGUAUUAAUGAUAAAUAAAAAAGUUAAAAUUAUAAUUUUUACAUCAAGGUAAAAAUUCAGAAAAAUAAAUUUAAAAGUUUUGGACUAAAUUAUAUUAGUUUUAAAAUUUUAAAAUUAAAUUAAAAAUUAAAAAUUUAAAUUUUUUUAUUAAUAUUAUUUAUUAGGUAAUAUAUAAAUAUAAUAAAAUAAUUUAUAAUAGUUUAUUAUUAAGAGACACUUUCUCCAUCUAAGUUUUUAUCUUAAAUAUAAUAUUAAUAAAAUUUAUAAUUUUAAAUAAUUUUAUCAAUUUUAAAAUUUUUAAAUUAAAUUAUUAAUAGUAAAAAGUUUUAAAGUUUAAUUAAUAUAUAUUACAUUUUUUUAUUAAUAAAGUUUACACACCUAACAUGUGUGGAAAUUUUCAUUGAAUUUAUUUGAGAGAGAGAAAUGUUAGCAGUUGGGAAAAUGAAUGGUUGUAAGUAAGUCAAGGUCUAUAUUCAGCUUUUGCUUUGUAAAAGGGAAACAUUUUAAAAGUUGUGCAAAACGUUGUGUCGUACAAUGAGUUAUUUGAGAGAGAGAAGCCAUGGCAUAGUAGCCCUACUACUCACUAUUCGAGACACAUGAUACUUACUGUAUACAGGUAUAGUAAAUUUUAAAAUAAUUUAUAAUUUAAUUUCUUAAUAUUAUUAUUAUUAAUAAUUCAUUUUAAAAAUUUAUUAAAAUAUUUUUAACUAUUAUUUUCAUUAAUAAUAUAAUUUUUUCAUCUGUUUAUACCGUUAAAAAUAAAAAAAAAUAAAUUACCUUUUCUUCUCUCCUCCUUAUUUUUUCCUUUUCUUCUCCUUCUUUUUCAAUUUUUCCUGUCCUCUUUCUCUUUCUCCUUCUAUUCUUCCUCUCCUUUUCCUUUGCUUUUUCUUCAAUUUUUCUUUUUCUUCAAUUUUAAUUUUUUUUCUUUUUCUUUUCAAAAAAAAAAAUAUAAUUUUUUACUCAUUAUCAUCCUCUUAAAAAAGUUACUUAUUAAUAAAAAAAAAUAUUUUUUUAACAUCAUCUUAAUAAAAUAUAUAUUGAUAAAAUUUUAUCAAAUAAGGAGGAUAUUAUUUUAAAUAUAAAAACUAUUAUAUGUAAUAAAUUCUCUAAUCAAAGUAUGAACAGUUAGAAUAAUAUUACGAUAAAUUCAUUUAAAAAAAAUUAAUUAUAGAAUCUAAUAAAAAUUUAUAAUCAUUCAAAAUCAAAUCUUUCCAUAAGAUAAUUUGAUAAAAAUAUUCACCAAGUAACUGUCUAAACUCUUAUAUAAGAUAAUUUAAUAAAAAUAUUCAUCCUUCUUUCUCAUCUCUCAAAUUUAAAUCAUUAAAAUCUUACGAAUAAGGUACGAAAAAAUUUUUUUACAAAAUAAAACUCAAAUAAGAUUUUAAAACUGACGUGAUUCCAAAAACACAUAAUAACUUUUGUUUACAAUAUUUUAUUUAAUUAAUUUUUAACUUUUUUUGUUUUUUAAUUUUUAUUUAUUAAAAUAUUUUAAUAUUUUUUAAAAAAUACUUACCAUUUCAAUUAUUUUUAAAUAGUAUAAGUAUGGCCUAUAAUAUCUUAUUUAAUUAAUUAUAUAUAAUAUCUUAUUUAAUUAAUCUUCAUUAAUUAUUGUCUAUAAUAUCUUAUUUAAUUAAUUUUUAAUUAUUUUUAUUAUUUAAUUUUUAUUCAUUAAAAUAUUUUAAUAUUCAUAACAUCAAAACAUUGAAAAAAUAAUUAUAAUUUCAGCUAUUUUUAAAUAGUACAAAUAACCUUAAAUAAGUUGUAAAAUUUUAUAAAGAAUAUUAUAGAAAGAAAUUGUACUUUCAGAAAAAAUUUGACCACCUACUAAUUUUAAACUAAUGGAUGAAAAAAUUAUAAUUUUAAACAGUUUAAAUAUAGAAAGAUUUAACGAUUUAUUUUUAAAAAUAUAAAUCUGGAGAGUUGUUGAGCUUAGUUUCUACCAUUUCACUGCGACAGACAUAAUUCAAAAUCCGGAGUGCUGCAAAGUCAUCUCUAACAGGAAAAGGUAUGCAAAGCAUGCAGAGUCAUCAAUACCAACACGGGGGAUAUCAGAAAUGAUAGGCCAGUAGUCUCCACCUUUAUCUUUUAAGCAACGGUCCUGCAGCAGAGGGCAGUUGUGAAUUACUAGGCAUUCAAGUGUAGCAGGAAGGCCCUCAGCUGGGAAGGACUGCAGUUUUGGGCACUGCCCAAUAUAUAAUUCUUUAAGAGAGGUGAGCUUUUGGAUACCCCUGGAUAUGGAUUUUAGAUUCUUGAAUCCAAUAAUCAAUAGCUGGGUAAGAGAAGUGGGAAGCAGAGAGCCGUCGUCAUCUGGAAAUGAAAUAAAAUCUCCAGCUGACUCCACUUCCAGAACCAAACAUCUAAGAGAGGCGAGUCUGUGGAGUCCCCACUCUAAUAUUGGCUGUUUCAUAUUCAAGCACUUUCGAAUAUGAAGGGAAGUUAGGUCAGGGGGUAAACAACCUUCUCCAAAGGACUCCAUACCUUCACAUAGUGAUAUAACUAUAGAUUGAAGGGAAGUGAGGUUUUGCAUCUGAUUGGGUAGAGACCUCAAAUUUUUGCACCGGGAAAUUUGAAAUGACACAAGCUUGGGGUUGGGCAAUCCCAUCUCUGGGAACAACUCUAAUUGAUGACAGCCCCCUAUUUCUAACUUUUGGAGACUCUGGAAGUCUUGCAUAUGAUUGGAUAGAGACCUCAAUCCUUCACAGUGAGCUAUUGUUAAAGAGAUAAGAGAAGGGAGAGGCAAUUCCUUCCCUGGAAAUGACUCUAAUUGAGGACACUUCUCUAUGUGUAAUUCUGUAAGAUGAGAAAGCCCACAGUAUAGCGAGUUUAAAAAUUGUGGUAUCCAGUUGUGAAUUCGAAGAGUCUUAAGGGAAUAUGGAAACUUUCCAUUUGAAGAGCAUCUGAGGGAUUCACAUUCAGAGAUAUGCAAUUUCUCCAGAUGAGACGUCUCGCCACUGUAAUUACUAGGAUACACAAUUCCUUCCGGCAUAGACUCCAAAGAUUUACAGCUCUUAAUACGAAGACGUAUCAUGUUGUGCGGCAAACCCCCUGUUGGGAAGGAGACUAAACUUGUACAUCCAUUUAUAGUAAAAUAUUUGAGAGAUUUGAGGUCUUUCAGUCCACUUGGCAACUCCUUCAGAUUUGGACACCCAUAUAUAUUCAAAACUUCAAGAUUGCAAGGCAAAAGCCCUGGCUCUCCAUCUACCAACGACACAAGCUCAUCACAUAACUCGAUUUCCAAAUGCUUUAGACUAGUAAGACUGGUGGCAUUAGUCACACUCCUGAGAAUUGCCUCUUGACAUUUUGUAAAAUGAAGUCUUGUAAGUGAUGGGAGCACUUUUGGUAAGUCAACCAAAAGCGGGCAAUCAACGAUAAAAAGAUUUUCCAGUGAAGGAAGGAAGGUGGGCAAUUUUCCAACCAACUUGGGACAAUUUCGUAUUUGGAGUUGAUGCAGCUUAGGAAAUUUUGGCACAGAAUCUUCGCCCAGACCUUUAGACCAAGCCCACAGCUCCCACUCAUCCAUAUUUCUAAUCUCUAGUUCUUCCAAACAAGAAAAACAUGAAUCAUCCUCGUAAAACUCAACACCCACUUCUUUCACUCCUCUCAUAUCUCCCAUGCUCAACUUUUUUAAUGACUUUAAUCGUCCAAGUGGUGGCAAUGAUGUCAUUUGGCGACACUUCCAUAGCUGCACCUGCACCAUGCCAGAGAAUGAAGGCUCACCCAGCCAUGAUGGGAAUUUCCUACCACCAAAUGAUGUAAUUGAUAGGCUUGACAGACUUUGAUAUGGCUGAAUUGAGUAGAGAACUUGUUCUUCAUGACUUGGGUUUCUCAAAUCAUCGAAACGUUCAUCCGCUUCAGCCCAUUCCAAGUGCAACUCAGUUAUACCAGGCUUAUCCUUCAAAUUGACAAAACCCGCAUCUCGAAUAUCUGCUACUUCCACAUUCUCUAAACUUGUAAUAUGAAGCUGCCCUCGAAGAUUACAAAGUUUCUUUAGCUCUGUGAUCCGACCAUUGCUUUUCCCCACGAUAAAUUUGGUCAACACGCAGAGACUAGUCAAAUUACCAAUAUGUGGUGGCAUCUCUUUCAAUUUCCUUGUGCCAAUAAUGUCAAGAUGCUGCAAGUUGAGUAAAUUGCAUAUGCCUUUAGGUAACUCAAUAAGCUCAUCACAAUCACGCAACUUUAAUGUCUGUAAGUUGAAGAGUUUAUCCACUGAUUCAGGCAAUCUU